This 287-nucleotide ribosomal RNA is filed under the name Bacillus atrophaeus. Its description in RNAcentral is "partial 16S ribosomal RNA". It matches the Rfam family "Bacterial small subunit ribosomal RNA", at positions 1248 to 1533 of the family's 1533-position model. Lineage: Bacteria; Bacillati; Bacillota; Bacilli; Caryophanales; Bacillaceae. The record is from RNAcentral.
AGCGAGACCGCGAGGUUAAGCCAAUCCCACAAAUCUGUUCUCAGUUCGGAUCGCAGUCUGCAACUCGACUGCGUGAAGCUGGAAUCGCUAGUAAUCGCGGAUCAGCAUGCCGCGGUGAAUACGUUCCCGGGCCUUGUACACACCGCCCGUCACACCACGAGAGUUUGUAACACCCGAAGUCGGUGAGGUAACCUUUAUGGAGCCAGCCGCCGAAGGUGGGACAGAUGAUUGGGGUGAAGUCGUAACAAGGUAGCCGUAUCGGAAGGUGCGGCUGGAUCACCUCCUUU